This 496-nucleotide ribosomal RNA is filed under the name uncultured bacterium. RNAcentral describes it as "partial 16S ribosomal RNA". It matches the Rfam family "Bacterial small subunit ribosomal RNA", at positions 28 to 506 of the family's 1533-position model. The record is from RNAcentral.
GAUGAACGCUGGCGGCGUGCCUAAUACAUGCAAGUCGAGCGAACAGACGAGGAGCUUGCUCCUCUGACGUUAGCGGCGGACGGGUGAGUAACACGUGGAUAACCUACCUAUAAGACUGGGAUAACUUCGGGAAACCGGAGCUAAUACCGGAUAAUAUAUUGAACCGCAUGGUUCAAUAGUGAAAGACGGUUUUGCUGUCACUUAUAGAUGGAUCCGCGCCGCAUUAGCUAGUUGGUAAGGUAACGGCUUACCAAGGCAACGAUGCGUAGCCGACCUGAGAGGGUGAUCGGCCCCCCUGGAACUGAGACCCGGUCCAGACUCCUACGGGAGGCCGCAGUAGGGAAUCUUCCGCACUGGGCGAAAGCCUGACGGAGCAACGCCGCGUGAGUGAUGAAGGUCUUCGGAUCGUAAAACUCUGUUAUUAGGGAAGAACAAAUGUGUAAGUAACUAUGCACGUCUUGACGGUACCUAAUCAGAAAGCCACGGCUAACUACGU